RNAcentral lists this long non-coding RNA (201 nucleotides) under Phoenix dactylifera (date palm). Its description in RNAcentral is "long non-coding RNA (PDAC_LNC004267)". The record is from RNAcentral. Lineage: Eukaryota; Viridiplantae; Streptophyta; Magnoliopsida; Arecales; Arecaceae.
AGUAUAAUAGCAAUAUUUUAAGUAUAAUUUCAAAGUUCUUUUAUUCCUUUAAAAGUAAGUACAUUUUGAUACAUAUAAUAAUGAAUUGGCACAAAAUUGAAGUUCUAAAGAACAAGCCAAUUAGGACUCAUUACUGAAUUCCCAAAAUAGAUUUUCUGAGAGAUACUCAAGAAAAUUCAACACAUUAUUCUUCCCCUUUUU